CCCGUCAUGAGCAAAAUUCUAUUGGAAAAGAUAAAACCGCCCAUUCUUGACAAAAUUUCACAAUUAUGUUAGAUUUAUUGUAGCCUAUUGUGAUAGUCGCAAUUACUAGAGUAUCGGCAAUUGGCCAAUUUUAACAGUGCUAGUUCUAGCCAAUCUAGGAGGAUUUUUUUAAUGAAAAACGGUAAGGUUAAAUGGUUCAACGCGGAAAAAGGUUUCGGGUUCAUUGAAGGUGAAGAUGGAAACGAUGUUUUCGUCCAUUUCUCUGCCAUCCAAUCUGAAGGCUUCAAGUCUUUGGAAGAAGGACAGGAAGUUUCCUUUGAAGUUAUUGAAGGAGCUCGUGGACCUCAGGCUUCAAACGUAGUCAAACUAUAAUAAAAAAUGAUUCAGCCCAGCCGCGAUGGCUGGGCUUUU
RNAcentral lists this small RNA (411 nucleotides) under Mesobacillus campisalis. RNAcentral describes it as "Bacillus campisalis cspA thermoregulator". It matches the Rfam family "cspA thermoregulator", at positions 69 to 428 of the family's 428-position model. Lineage: Bacteria; Bacillati; Bacillota; Bacilli; Caryophanales; Bacillaceae. The record is from Rfam by way of RNAcentral.